GCAUCUGGGAUAGCUCCGUCAGUGGAGCACGAGACUCUUAAUCUCAGGGUCGUGGGUUCAGGCCCCACGUUGGGCA
This 76-nucleotide transfer RNA is filed under the name Podarcis lilfordi (Lilford's wall lizard). RNAcentral describes it as "tRNA.Lys". Lineage: Eukaryota; Metazoa; Chordata; Lepidosauria; Squamata; Lacertidae. The record is from RNAcentral.